Molecule: ribosomal RNA, 464 nt
Filed under: uncultured bacterium
Lineage: Bacteria
Description: partial 16S ribosomal RNA
Rfam family: Bacterial small subunit ribosomal RNA
Source: RNAcentral
CUACGGGACGCAGCAGUGGGGAAUAUUGCACAAUGGGCGCAAGCCUGAUGCAGCCAUGCCGCGUGUAUGAAGAAGGCCUUCGGGUUGUAAAGUACUUUCAGCGGGGAGGAAGGGAGUAAAGUUAAUACCUUUGCUCAUUGACGUUACCCGCAGAAGAAGCACCGGCUAACUCCGUGCCAGCAGCCGCGGUAAUACGGAGGGUGCAAGCGUUAUCGGAGAUUACUGGGCGUAAAGCGCACGCAGGCGGUUUGUUAAGUCAGAUGUGAAAUCCCCGGGCUCAACCUGGGAACUGCAUCUGAUACUGGCAAGCUUGAGUCUCGUAGAGGGGGGUAGAAUUCCAGGUGUAGCGGUGAAAUGCGUAGAGAUCUGGAGGAAUACCGGUGGCGAAGGCGGCCCCCUGGACGAAGACUGACGCUCAGGUGCGAAAGCGUGGGGAGCAAACAGGAUUAGAUACCCCGGUAGUC